GCAAUGGGUAGUACAGGUACGGGCACUACAGACCUCUGCCCCAUCUCCGAUAAUUCAUUCCCGGUCCUCAGUUCCAGUAAACUGAGAGUCAGAUGAAGUGUGGGGCAGGAUUCAGUAGAAACGCCCGGCGAUGGCGACAAAGGAAGAGAUAUCUCAAUCUCGUUCUCUUGCGACGAAGACACGAACUCGGCUAGGUUCAGUGAAGCCG
Molecule: unclassified non-coding RNA, 208 nt
Filed under: Hevea brasiliensis (rubber tree)
Lineage: Eukaryota; Viridiplantae; Streptophyta; Magnoliopsida; Malpighiales; Euphorbiaceae
Source: RNAcentral